AUUGAACGCUGGCGGCAUGCUUUACACAUGCAAGUCGAACGGUAACAGGCCGCAAGGUGCUGACGAGUGGCGAACGGGUGAGUAAUGCAUCGGAACGUGCCCAGUCGUGGGGGAUAACUACUCGAAAGAGUAGCUAAUACCGCAUAUGAUCUAUGGAUGAAAGCGGGGGACCGUAAGGCCUCGCGCGAUUGGAGCGGCCGAUGUCAGAUUAGGUAGUUGGUGGGGUAAAGGCUCACCAAGCCAACGAUCUGUAGCUGGUCUGAGAGGACGACCAGCCACACUGGGACUGAGACACGGCCCAGACUCCUACGGGAGGCAGCAGUGGGGAAUUUUGGACAAUGGGCGCAAGCCUGAUCCAGCAAUGCCGCGUGCAGGAAGAAGGCCUUCGGGUUGUAAACUGCUUUUGUACGGAACGAAACGGCUCUGGUUAAUACCCGGGGCUAAUGACGGUACCGUAAGAAUAAGCACCGGCUAACUACGUG
RNAcentral lists this ribosomal RNA (482 nucleotides) under uncultured bacterium. RNAcentral describes it as "partial 16S ribosomal RNA". It matches the Rfam family "Bacterial small subunit ribosomal RNA", at positions 30 to 507 of the family's 1533-position model. The record is from RNAcentral.